Molecule: ribosomal RNA, 402 nt
Filed under: bacterium
Lineage: Bacteria
Description: partial 16S ribosomal RNA
Rfam family: Bacterial small subunit ribosomal RNA
Source: RNAcentral
UGGGGAAUUUUGCACAAUGGGGGAAACCCUGAUGCAGCGACGCCGCGUGAUUUAGAAGGCCUUCGGGUUGUAAAAAUCUUUUUUACGGGAUGAAAAUGACAGUACCGUAAGACUAAGGUCCGGCUAAAUACGUGCCAGCAGCCGCGGUAAUACGUAUGGACCGAGCGUUGUCCGGAAUCAUUGGGCGUAAAGGGUACGUAGGCGGCCUAGUAAGUUAGAAGUGAAAUAAUAUAGCUCAACUAUAUAAAGCUUUUAAAACUGCUAGGCUUGAGAGAUGGAAGGGAAAGUGGAAUUCCGAGUGUAGCGGUGAAAUGCGCAGAUAUUAGGAAGAAUACCGGUGGCGAAGGCGACUUUCUGGUCAUCAUCUGACGCUGAGGUACGAAAGCGUGGGUAGCAAACAGG